This is a non-coding RNA of Cinara cedri, 391 nucleotides long. Lineage: Eukaryota; Metazoa; Arthropoda; Insecta; Hemiptera; Aphididae. The record is from the annotation of a GenBank genome assembly.
CCGUCCCGUCCCGUUUCCGGAAUUUCCCGAAAGCCUACGCCGUCGCGGUACACCCGAUGUUAAAAUACGCGUCGUAUGCGCGGCGGAACCGGUGGCGUUACCGAUUGCUCGACAUGAACGCCUAUUAUUGCCCGUCCGUUUGCCCGGACACGAUACGGUCAGUGGCGUGCGCACCACGCCGAGGCCGAGGGUUAAAUUACUUACUCGUACCCGACGACGACGCGAACAUGCAUUCCGCGUUAAAAACCGAGCGUUUCUGUGUCGUAUACUGACGGGGGACGAACCGCAUAGAGAACAGUAAAGAAGUGCUUUAGUCGAGCGACACAAAGAGCCGAUAAACUAGGGCGUCCCAAUGUCUGGGUUUAGGUCUUGAAACUCAUCGACAGAACGA